UGGAUCGAUGAUGACCACUGGUGGCGUAUGAGUCGUAUGCGAUGAAUACGUGUCUGGAACUCUGAGGUCCAA
This is a small nucleolar RNA of Ailuropoda melanoleuca (giant panda), 72 nucleotides long. The record is from Ensembl. Lineage: Eukaryota; Metazoa; Chordata; Mammalia; Carnivora; Ursidae.